GUGUCUUGAUCAGAAUAGUCACAAUUUGAAAAAUGAUGUUGGACUAGUAGUCCUUUUUUUUUUCGUUAUUCAUUGUUCUAUUGUUUGCUCCAGCUUGAGAAGGGUGUGGAUGGACUAUUUGAUAGCUUUGCUAGGUUGGAUUCCUGCAUAUCAAGUGUUGGUCAAACAGCUGCAAAAAUCGGAGAUCAUUUACAGAGCGCAGAAUCCCAGAGGGAAACUGCUAGUCAGACGAUAGAUCUCAUCAAGUAUCUCAUGGAGUUCAACAGCACACCUGGGGACCUUAUGGAACUUUCUCCUU
Molecule: long non-coding RNA, 298 nt
Organism: Sorghum bicolor (sorghum)
Lineage: Eukaryota; Viridiplantae; Streptophyta; Magnoliopsida; Poales; Poaceae
Exons: 3
Source: RefSeq, a predicted model, not a curated record